GACGAACGCUGGCGGCGUGCUUAACACAUGCAAGUCGAACGGAAAGGCCCUGCUUCUGUGGGGUGUUCGAGUGGCGAACGUGUGAGUAACACGUGAGUCACCUGCCCUUGACUUUGGGAUAAUUUCAGGAAACUUGGGCUACUGCCGGUUAGGAGCUCCUGCUGCAUGGUGGGGGUUGGAAGGUUUCGGCGGUUGGGGAUGGACUCGGGGCUUAUCGGCUUGUCGGUGGGGUAGUGGCUUAGCUAGUCUGUGACCGGUGGCCGGCCUGAAAGGGUGACCGGCCACAUUGGGACGGCGAUUCGGGCCAGACGCCUACGGGAGGAAGCAGUGGGGGAUGGUGCACUAAGGGCGGAACGCUGAUGCAGCAACGCCGGGCGUCGGGUGACGGCCUUCGGUUUGUAGACCGCAUUCCCCUGGGACGAAGCGGGAGUGACGGUAAUGGGUAAAGAAGCACCGGCUAACUACGUG
This 468-nucleotide ribosomal RNA is filed under the name uncultured bacterium. RNAcentral's name for it is "partial 16S ribosomal RNA". It matches the Rfam family "Bacterial small subunit ribosomal RNA", at positions 28 to 507 of the family's 1533-position model. The record is from RNAcentral.